This 28-nucleotide non-coding RNA is filed under the name Mus musculus (house mouse). Lineage: Eukaryota; Metazoa; Chordata; Mammalia; Rodentia; Muridae. The record is from RNAcentral.
UAGAAGAGAAACAUUAGAUAAUUCAUUU